RNAcentral lists this ribosomal RNA (241 nucleotides) under Coelotinae sp. ZZ192. Its description in RNAcentral is "partial 12S ribosomal RNA". The record is from RNAcentral. Lineage: Eukaryota; Metazoa; Arthropoda; Arachnida; Araneae; Agelenidae.
CACGAUAAAUUUCACUUUACUAUAAAAUUUAUAUACCGCCAUCUUAAGAAUUAUAAUAAAUUAUUUUCCAAAAAACAAAUAAAAAGUUAGGUCAAGGUGUAAUCAACAUUAAAGAUAAGAUGAAUUACAUUAAAAAUUAUUUAAAGUUUAUAAAUUAUAUAUUUAUAUAAAUAAGAAUUUAAUAGUAAUAUUUUAACAAUAAUAUAAUAUGACAAAGAUUAUAAAUGUGCACACAUCGCCC